GCAAUUAGUGGGAUAGCCAUGCUAGUCGUACGACCAGAACCAUGUCUGGUAGUGGCGUACUGCUCAGUAACACGUUGCUAACUUACCCUUAGGACGGGUGCAACCCCGAGAAAUUGGGGCUAAUCCCCGAUAGGUGUGGUGUCCUGGAAUGGUAUCACGCCUAAAGGUCCCAACAGCAUGUUGUUGUUACGCCUAAGGAUGGGGCUGCGGCCGAUCAGGCAGUUGGUGAGGUAAUGGCUCACCAAACCUUUGACCGGUACGGGCCAUGAGAGUGGUAGCCCGGAGAUGGAUACUGAGACAAGGAUCCAGGCCCUACGGGGCGCAGCAGGCGCGAAACCUCCUCAAUGCACUGAAGUGUGAAGGGGUUACCUCGAGUGCCGUCUGAAGAAGGCGGCUUUUCCUUGGUCUAAAAAGCCUUGGGAAUAAGAGGGGGGCAAGACUGGUGUCAGCCGCCGCGGUAACACCAGCCCCUCGAGUGGUGGGGAUGAUUAUUUGACCUAAAGCGUCCGUAGCCGGCCGAGUAAGUUUCCCGUUAAAUCCAGCGUCUCAAGCGUUGGGCUGCGGGAAAUACUGCCCGGCUAGAGAGUGGGAGAGGAAAGCGGUAUUCUGGGGGUAGGGGCGAAAUCCUUUGAUCCCCGGAGGACCACCAGUGGCGAAGGCUGCUUUCUAGAACGGGUCCGACGGUGAGGGACGAAAGCUAGGGGAGCAAACCGGAUUAGAUACCCGGGUAGUCCUAGCUGUAAACGAUGCUCGCUAGGUGUCAGGCACGGUGCGACCGUGUCCGGUGCCGCAGGGAAGCCGUGAAGCGAGCCACCUGGGGAAGUACGGUCGCAAGGCUGAAACUUAAAGGAAUUGGCGGGGGAGCACUACAACGGGUGGAGCCUGCGGUUUAAUUGGAGUCAACGCCGGG
Molecule: ribosomal RNA, 910 nt
Filed under: uncultured archaeon
Lineage: Archaea
Description: bacterial SSU rRNA
Rfam family: Archaeal small subunit ribosomal RNA
Source: RNAcentral